AUGGCUGACAUGCACGGCAUGGCCGAAGCCGACGAGAGAAGAGAGAGAUGGAGAGAAAAGAGAGGACGGGAAGGAGACGAGACGCCAGAGGAGAGAGAAGGGGGUGGUGGUCACUUCAACGGGCUGCAGCGUGGCGCCGCCCCGGCCGCUGAGCCUGCCCGACCGCCCCGUCGCCAAGUCGCCACCCCACUGACUGCCCUGGGCUCGCCCUUUAAACCAAUUCAGAGCCAGCGAUUGUUGCCCACAUCGCCGAACCUGGCUCCCCUUCUCCACCCCAGCAAGCACGCGCGCUUGAAGGCGCCCAGGAGCUCGCCGGCAACACUCAGCAGACGCAGGAGAGCUGCGUGCCUGUUAACAAAUUAUAUUGCCCUGUACUACUUUUUAACAAAUUGGCUCCUACAAAGACUAAUGGAAGGAUCAUCAGACCAACGUAGUCAAAUUGUCUGCUUCAAAUUUUCGGGAAGCUGA
This 468-nucleotide ribosomal RNA is filed under the name Triticum aestivum (bread wheat). Its description in RNAcentral is "partial small subunit ribosomal RNA". The record is from RNAcentral. Lineage: Eukaryota; Viridiplantae; Streptophyta; Magnoliopsida; Poales; Poaceae.